Molecule: ribosomal RNA, 800 nt
Filed under: uncultured Pelagibacteraceae bacterium
Lineage: Bacteria; Pseudomonadati; Pseudomonadota; Alphaproteobacteria; Candidatus Pelagibacterales; Candidatus Pelagibacteraceae
Description: bacterial SSU rRNA
Rfam family: Bacterial small subunit ribosomal RNA
Source: RNAcentral
GCUGGCGGCACGCCUUAUACAUGCAAGUCGAACGAAGUAGCAAUACUUAGUGGCAGACGGGUGAGUAACAUGUAGGUAUCUUCCCUUUGGUGAGGAAUAACACGAGGAAACUUGUGCUAAUACCUCAUAAGUCUUUACGGAGAAAGCUUUAUGCGCCGAAGGAUGAGCCUGCACUUGAUUAGUUUGUUGGUAGGGUAAUGGCCUACCAAGACUGUGAUCUAUAGCUGAUCUGAGAGGAUGAUCAGCCACAUUGGGACUGAGACACGGCCCAAACUCCUACGGGAGGCAGCAGUAGGGAAUAUUGCACAAUGGAGGAAACUCUGAUGCAGCGAUGCCGCGUGAGUGAAGAAGGCCUUUGGGUUGUAAAGCUCUUUCGUCGGGGAAGAAAAUGACUGUACCCGAAUAAGAAGGUCCGGCUAACUUCGUGCCAGCAGCCGCGGUAAUACGAAGGGACCUAGCGUAGUUCGGAAUUACUGGGCUUAAAGAGUUCGUAGGUGGUUAAAAAAGUUGGUGGUGAAAUCCCAGAGCUUAACUCUGGAACUGCCAUCAAAACUUUUUAGCUAGAGUAUGAUAGAGGAAAGCAGAAUUUCUAGUGUAGAGGUGAAAUUCGUAGAUAUUAGAAAGAAUACCAAUUGCGAAGGCAGCUUUCUGGAUCAUUACUGACGCUGAGGAACGAAAGCAUGGGUAGCGAAGAGGAUUAGAUACCCUCGUAGUCCAUGCCGUAAACGAUGUGUGUUAGACGUUGGAAAUUUAUUUUCAGUGUCGCAGCGAAAGCAUUAAACACACCGCCUGGGGAGUAC